GAUGAACGCUGGCGGCGUGCCUAAUACAUGCAAGUCGAGCGAACAGACGAGGAGCUUGCUCCUCUGACGUUAGCGGCGGACGGGUGAGUAACAAGUGGAUAACCUACCUAUAAGACUGGGAUAACUUCGGGAAACCGGAGCUAAUACCGGAUAAUAUAUUGAACCGCAUGGUUCAAUAGUGAAAGACGGUUUUGCUGUCACUUAUAGAUGGAUCCGCGCCGCAUUAGCUAGUUGGUAAGGUAACGGCUUACCAAGGCGACGAUGCGUAGCCGACCUGAGAGGGUGAUCGGCCACACUGGAACUGAGACACGGUCCAGACUCCUACGGGAGGCAGCAGUAGGGAAUCCUCCGCAAUGGGCGAAAGCCUGACGGAGCAACGCCGCGUGAGUGAUGAAGGUCUUCGGAUCGUAAAACUCUGUUAUUAGGGAAGAACAAAUGUGUAAGUAACUAUGCACGUCUUGACGGUACCUAAUCAGAAAGCCACGGCUAACUACGUG
This 497-nucleotide ribosomal RNA is filed under the name uncultured bacterium. RNAcentral describes it as "partial 16S ribosomal RNA". It matches the Rfam family "Bacterial small subunit ribosomal RNA", at positions 28 to 507 of the family's 1533-position model. The record is from RNAcentral.